UUUAAAAAUAUAUAUACUCUGGAUUGGAUAGAGUUGUCUUUUUAUCUGAAUUCUAAAACAUUAAAACAUUUUCAUGGGCUUUAGGUCCCCUGUGCCUGAUUGAGAAUGAGUUCUAUUGUGGAAGGAAGAUAUUGAGAAGGUUGUGUGGGCAACAGGAAGUCAACUGACCCUGAUGUCUCUUCUCUUCCUCAUUUUCAGCAAAUGGCAUCAGAUCAUAAAUUAAAGCAGCAAGGAAAUAAAUGCAAAAAGAGCUGUUAGAAUAAACUCCAUAAAAGCCUGUUACAGGGGACUCUUCACCCUAAGGCACCAGAGAGCAGAUUUAGAAUAAAGAGAUAAUGCACCCAGGUUCAUCCUGAACCAAGCUCUGUCUCUGUCCAGCUUUGCCUCCCUGCCCAGGGAACGAGACUCUAGAGGAGUGAAGCAUUGUUUUCCUAAGAUGUCCUGAAAGAAUAAUGUAUCCAGCGCCCAAGAAAACCAAUUCCUAAGAAGAUUAUGGUCUUUCUGGAGAAGCCACUUGCACAAAGGUUCCAAAAGCCAAUGGGGUCAAGGUCUUCUUUAUAGCGGCGUCAUUAACAGGCGGACCACCACCCUCCAACUCUGGAAGGAAAAGUGAAGUUGUGAAAACACAAGGUUGAGAGUUUAAAGGUAGGAAGUUGGUCUUUUGCUGGGAAAGCAUCAAGAAGAUCUCAGUCUUCAAAGGCAGGGAGACCUGAAAUACCUGGGCUAGUUGUACUGAGUUCAGAUCGUGUUCCAGACCAACCAACCCUUCUUGAAAGUAAACCAGUUGACCUGCAUGACAUCAACUCAAGAUGAGGAUGGGAGGGGCUGUUGAUCAGCCAACAAUGGAAAGGACCACCACCAUGCCAGAGCCAGGUUGCCUUGAGCCAUUGCUUGCUGCCUUCCGGGAUCUGCGUUAUCAGAAACCUGUAACCAGAAGCAGGAACUGAGACUUGAACCCAGCUUCUGCCUCCUUCAGUGACUGAGACACGGCUUCAUGAAUUUUCAUUGAAAUAAUAAAUUAAUUAAUAAACAAAUCA
This 1037-nucleotide long non-coding RNA is filed under the name Oryctolagus cuniculus (rabbit). Its description in RNAcentral is "lncRNA (ENSOCUG00000030880.1)". Lineage: Eukaryota; Metazoa; Chordata; Mammalia; Lagomorpha; Leporidae. The record is from RNAcentral.